AGCGUAGACGGUGUGGCAAGUCUGAUGUGAAAGGCAUGGGCUCAACCUGUGGACUGCAUUGGAAACUGUCAUACUUGAGUGCCGGAGGGGUAAGCGGAAUUCCUAGUGUAGCGGUGAAAUGCGUAGAUAUUAGGAGAAACACCAGUGGCGAAGGCGGCUUACUGGACGGUAACUGACGUUGAGGCUCGAAAGCGUGGGAGCAAACA
This 206-nucleotide ribosomal RNA is filed under the name uncultured bacterium. Its description in RNAcentral is "partial 16S ribosomal RNA". It matches the Rfam family "Bacterial small subunit ribosomal RNA", at positions 568 to 774 of the family's 1533-position model. The record is from RNAcentral.